Molecule: ribosomal RNA, 347 nt
Filed under: uncultured bacterium
Lineage: Bacteria
Description: bacterial SSU rRNA
Rfam family: Bacterial small subunit ribosomal RNA
Source: RNAcentral
GACCCCGCACAAGCGGCGGAGCAUGCGGCUUAAUUCGAUGAUACCCGUAGAACCUUACCUGGACUUGACAUAUAGGGUCAAGCUAUAGAGAUAUAGUGUGCAUUAGCGCCCUAUACAGGUGGUGCAUGGCUGUCGUCAGCUCGUGUCGUGAGAUGUUGGUUAAGUCCCGCAACGAGCGCAACCCCUGUCCUAUGUUGCCAGCAUUUAGUUGGGGACUCAUAGGAGACUGCCGGUGAUAAGCUGGAGGAAGGCGGGGAUGACGUCAAGUCCUCAUGGCCCUUACGGUCUGGGCUACACACGUGCUACAAUGGUGGUGACAGUGGGCAGCGAUACUGCAAAGUAAAGCU